This 366-nucleotide unclassified non-coding RNA is filed under the name uncultured bacterium. RNAcentral's name for it is "contains 16S-23S intergenic spacer region". The record is from RNAcentral.
UCCUCGUUAACCGAGGCAGUCUCGUCUGAGAAGUACAACAGACGACGAGGGUUGCGCUCGUUGCGGGACUUAACCCAACAUCUCACGACACGAGCUGACGACGGCCAUGCAGCGCCUGUCACCGGUCCAGCAAACUGACUCCCAAGUUUCCAAGGGAUGCGACCGGGAUGUCAAACCCUGGUAAGGUUCUCCGCUUAUCGUCGAAUUAAACCACACGCUCCACCGCUUGUGCGGGUCCCCGUCAAUUCCUUUGAGUUUUAAGCUUGCGCUCGUACUCCCCAGGCGGGGUGCUUAACGCGUUAGCUUCGAUACCCAGAGGAUCUAUGCUCCAGAUACCUAGCACCCAUCGUUUACGGCGUGGACUAC